GGGAAACUUGCAUGAUCGGUACGGCCACAUUGUUGCCUUAUCUGCCAAAUUCCUCUGCCUCAAGUUGGAAUUUCAUACAAAGCACAAAGUGAUCCCGGGCAACCUGGAGGCCAGUGACGAGACUCUGGAGAGGGAAGCGGGAAACGACAUGACCAAAGUGUUAGAUAUGACGCAGGAGCUGAUGGAUUAUUUGGAGGCUGGACUGAAGAUGGAGGAGACAGUUUUGCGUCAGCUUGAUGCCAACGGGGCUAAAUCUACCACUCCAGCCGGACAGUGCAGACUGGCUCCUCUGAUCCCCCUCAUACUGGACUGCAGCUUCCUCUACCACUUCUCCGUCCUGCUCAUGUUCAAACUUCA
This is a non-coding RNA of Plectropomus leopardus (leopard coralgrouper), 357 nucleotides long. The record is from RefSeq and is a predicted model, not a curated record. Lineage: Eukaryota; Metazoa; Chordata; Actinopteri; Perciformes; Serranidae.